UACGUAGGGGGCUAGCGUUGUCCGGAUUUAUUGGGCGUAAAGAGCGUGUAGGCGGUCAGGUAGGUCGGUUGUGAAAACUGGAGGCUCAACCUCGGGCCUGCAGUGGGUACGGGCAGACUGGAGUGCGGUAGGGGAGAAUGGAAUUCCUGGUGUAGCGGUGGAAUGCGCAGAUAUCAGGAGGAACACCGAUGGCGAAGGCAGUUCUCUGGGCCGUAACUGACGCUGAGGAGCGAAAGCGUGGGGAGCGAGCAGG
This 253-nucleotide ribosomal RNA is filed under the name uncultured bacterium. RNAcentral describes it as "partial 16S ribosomal RNA". It matches the Rfam family "Bacterial small subunit ribosomal RNA", at positions 524 to 776 of the family's 1533-position model. The record is from RNAcentral.